RNAcentral lists this ribosomal RNA (274 nucleotides) under uncultured bacterium. RNAcentral describes it as "partial 16S ribosomal RNA". It matches the Rfam family "Bacterial small subunit ribosomal RNA", at positions 523 to 796 of the family's 1533-position model. The record is from RNAcentral.
AGACAGAGGUGGCAAGCGUUGUUCGGAUUUACUGGGCGUAAAGAGUUCGUAGGCGGUUGUAUGUGUCAGGUGUGAAAUCCCAGGGCUUAACCUUGGAAUUGCAUUUGAAACUGUACAACUUGAGGACAGGAGGGGGAAGUGGAAUUCCCGGUGUAGCGGUGAAAUGCGUAGAUAUCGGGAAGAACACCGGUGGCGAAGGCGGCUUCCUGGACUGUCCCUGACGCUGAGGAACGAAAGCGUGGGUAGCAAACAGGAUUAGAAACCCUAGUAGUCC